UCUCCGUAGGUGAACCUGCGGAGGGAUCAUUACAGAGUUCUCGCCCUCGCGGGUAGAUCUCCCACUCACUGUUAUCGUUACUGUGUUGCUUCGGCGGGCCGCCGGGCCCCGCUCGGCCGCCGGCUCCGGCUGGCGCGCGCCCGCCAGAGGCCCAGCAAACUCUGAAUGUUAGUGUCGUCUGAGUACUAUAUAAUAGUUAAAACUUUCAACAACGGAUCUCUUGGUUCUG
This 229-nucleotide unclassified non-coding RNA is filed under the name plant metagenome. Its description in RNAcentral is "partial contains small subunit ribosomal RNA, internal transcribed spacer 1, and 5.8S ribosomal RNA". The record is from RNAcentral.